Molecule: long non-coding RNA, 1533 nt
Filed under: Carica papaya (papaya)
Lineage: Eukaryota; Viridiplantae; Streptophyta; Magnoliopsida; Brassicales; Caricaceae
Description: long non-coding RNA (CPAP_LNC011412)
Source: RNAcentral
GAUGAACUUCCGUACUUAUUCUACGUAGCUUGAAUGACUUUGGCUGAAUUUAUUCUUCCCUCUUUUCAUCUUUGAUACUUUGACUUUUCAUCAUGAUAAGUUUUGUACUUAUUCCAAUAAGUCAGCCAAUCCAUUUGGAUAAUUUCUUUUCAGCUUUGGAAUUGGCUAUAUAUUACUGUUAGCUGGAAAGUUACAAAAAAAUAUUUUGCUUUUCUGGGUGUGGGGAAAUCAAUUUAUGAGAAUCUUGUCUGCUGUGGUACAAAAAUAGGUGGCUUCAAAUUAAGUUGUUACUUGCCAUGUUCUUUGUCUUACGUCUCCUGAUAUUCAGCAUUCUUAGUGGUAAAGUCAGUUCAUAGGCCUGAGCAUGAAGCAUGUACUUGCAACUCAAUUAUACGUCUUACCCAGUUCCCAUAUUUGAAAUAGAGAACAUAUUGUGAAUUCUUUAACUUAUUCCUUUUUUAAAAAAAAACAUCUCUUACCAUAAUUGUUGUUUAUGUAACAUGUGGAGCUCUCUGCAAUAUCUUGAUAAACAAAUCUAUGGUGCCUCUUAAAUGAUAGAGUUAAAUAUAUUUUCCUAAAAGUUUAAACUGAUAAGAAGAUGUUUGUGGAUCGAGGCGUCUAGCUAAUAUCUUGUGAAAAAUUAAUAAAUCGACGGAAUCUGAGCACUGACUGUCCCAACACUAGACCUUUGGCUUUGGUACCAAAUUAAAUAAUUGGUUGUAGUUUAUGCUAAAAACUUAAGCUGUUAAGAAAAAUCCAGUCUGUUCUCCAUACACUAGGUAUCUUGGUAUCAAACCAAAUACCAUGACUCAGUACAAUGUCUACUAUUGAACUUUUGGGGCACAAGUCCAAACCUUUUACUUAAUUUACACUGUUUAAGAGUGAAUGAAUUUCACAAGAAAAGAGAAGCUAAUUUGCAAAUCUACAUUUUUAUAUUUAUAAUUCGAAUAUAAAUAUGGAUAUUUAAAUGUAUCCUACAUUUGUUGUCUUGUAAUACAUGUGUUCCUUAAUGAAUCAAUUGCUGACAAUAGAUUUUAGUUAAUCUUAGUGUAAAUAAGGAUCAAGUCAAAAUGACUCAGUACAAUGUCUACUAUUGAACUUUUGGGGCACAAGUCCAAACCUUUUACUUAAUUUACACUGUUUAAGAGUGAAUGAAUUUCACAAGAAAAGAGAAGCUAAUUUGCAAAUCUACAUUUUUAUAUUUAUAAUUCGAAUAUAAAUAUGGAUAUUUAAAUGUAUCCUACAUUUGUUGUCUUGUAAUACAUGUGUUCCUUAAUGAAUCAAUUGCUGACAAUAGAUUUUAGUUAAUCUUAGUGUAAAUAAGGAUCAAGUCAAAAUGACUUGGCCUUUAAAACUAGAUAAGCAUAUCUUGCAUAAUCCACAGAUACUUGAUUUCUAAUAAUAAAUCAAUGUUGUUAUUUUGUCUAAGAAAUAUUCUCUAGCACAGUGUCAUCCCAGUUUCAUUUAUUUUUACUGUUUGCCGUCUUAUGCUGUUUACUUUUAUUGGAACUAAUCUUAGUUUUUCCUGUAAAG